CUGGACACAUAUAUAUAUAUCUUUUCAAGCACAUUUUCACAGGCAUUCUACAAUAUCAUUAGUUUCACAAAUAUCACUUUCACAGGGAUUCUACAAUAUCAUUAGUUUCAUAAAUAUCACUUUUGAUGGUGUAUUGUCCUUCAUCAACACUCCUGGUAAUAUCCAUAGUCACUUCAAGAUAAUGCAAAGCACCCAAAUCUUUGUUAGAACAAAACACAAAAUGUAUUUUAAAGUGUCAUCUCAGCAUCCAGUUUCUUGACUUAUUUAUUUUGGAACAAUCAGAGCUCCCUCUCCAUCUUCAUUAAGGGCACCAGGCUCUCCGCCACAGUGACUGAGGUAGUGAUGAAACCCUGACACAAUAUAAUACUCUGUACUCAUGUAGAACCUUUGUUUUUGGAUUUAGAGUGCCAGUGUAUCUCCUUGGAAGAAAUGUGGGGCCGGAUUCAUUAUGCAGUGACUUUCAUGAUAAUGGAGUAGCUACUCCACACUCUGGAAUGAAAAUGACUUGGAUAACAUCCCUUGGAACUGGUAAGACACCACACAGGCUGUGUUCUGGGGCGUGGGGUAGACAAACUUGUCUGGAAGAGGACAAUCUCACUCAGCUUCCUGGCAAACUCAAGGUGUCCCACGUUGCUGAGAGAAAACAGGACACAAGCUCCCGGGCACACGCUUAGCAGAUGUGGAGCCAGGACGAGGUGCUGGGCUGCCAAUAACGCUACACACACUUUUGACAGAAAAAGAGUGCCUUUCUAUUUUAAAUUUAAAGGUGUGCCAGCAUAACACACAGCCUCAUCUUGGCCUCUGCGCCCUGCACGCAGUUCACAAAGCCCACUGUUGGCCACAGGCACAGUAUCCUCAAAUGUUAAAAUGGCCUGAAUGACUAAAAAUAAAUAUAUUCUCUAAAACUGGAACAUGGAAAGUGUGUGGGAGGCAGUUUGCCCUUGAAGAUUUUGUGGAAGGACUUUAGGGGAUGUGGGCGGCAAGCCACCCAGGCACCAAGGCAAGAGACAGAGGACACGAGCUGUUCUAAUAUAAUAAAAUAUAAAACAAGAAUAGUUAUACCAG
This 1065-nucleotide long non-coding RNA is filed under the name Pan troglodytes (chimpanzee). RNAcentral describes it as "lncRNA (ENSPTRG00000054260.1)". The record is from RNAcentral. Lineage: Eukaryota; Metazoa; Chordata; Mammalia; Primates; Hominidae.